This is a long non-coding RNA of Musca domestica (house fly), 1485 nucleotides long. RefSeq lists it as uncharacterized. The transcript is spliced from 5 exons. Lineage: Eukaryota; Metazoa; Arthropoda; Insecta; Diptera; Muscidae. The record is from RefSeq and is a predicted model, not a curated record.
UACUACUAAACCUAUGAUAUUAAUCAGGGCUGUAUUUAUGCUACUGUCACCAUUCCUCUUUGACUGACCAAAUACAUCCCUGAUGUGGCAUCACCUUUUUUGGUCUGGCAUUUCCGUUUCCGCUUCAUUUUUAAACCAUUGGCGGACGACUUACUUGGUUCGCCGAAAUGUUGCCGGUAGUUUUCCUCAAAAAAACCUAAAAAUUAUUCAGCAGAAAAGCAGGGUUUCUUCAAUGAGAAAACUCGUGUUUGCCAUUGGUAAGCUUGUGCGUACAUAUCGCAAAAAAAUGGUGGCGUGGUUUUACGCACACAUACGUUUAUACGCACAUGAACCCUUUCAACACUCGGCGUUAUCAAUGCUGUUUCAUUGUGUCUCAAUGCAGUCAAUGCAGAAUGCCUUUACACACAUGCCUGUUAUCAUCGGCAGAAUUAUUUCGUACACACCGCUGCCGGCAAUGGCAGAACUUUUUAACACACAUUACUGUGAGCAAAGACAGAAUUACUGUACUCAUACCGCUGUUAGCAUUGGCAGAACUAAUAAAAACACACAUCGCUGUCGGUAGCGUUAUUACACGAACAUCGUCAUAUGUGUGUUGUCGUAUGAAGGGUCUACCAUUUCAUUUACACGAAACAACGACCAUAAAAGAAUGGUAAUUAAGAGUUAUUCAUUUGGCAGAUGAGCAUAUUAGAAUUUUAUAUAUGAAGAUACUCUUCAAUUGGCGUAUUCGGUAUUCCAGAAUUUUAUUGUCCAUUAAAUUCAAUUACAUAUAUGGCCCAUUGAUUGUGUGUUUUCGGAGCGGUAAUGUUGGUGGAUAAUCUAUAGUUAUGCACAUAUGGCGGUUGGCGUGGCUUAAUAGGCCGACUGCUAAUUGGAACAUAUGGUGGCAUGAGUUUCAUGGGCGACGUACAUGAAAAAGUUUUUCCAACUACCUGUGUGCCACGAUUUUUCGCCCAUUUAUAAACACUAUUACCCUCGUCUCCUAUGUGCGUGUUUGAUAUUAUCGGACAAGCAGUAAAAUAGGACCUUUUCGUGUUUCAAACUGUAAACAUUUAUGGCAAAGUGUCUCAACCUUAAAUACGGUUCAUUGGGUUUUAAGGCCGCAAGGAAAGUUCAAAAUUUCGGAGCUAUCUGCACGGUGUACCACAAAAAUGUUACCUGGUCAUCUCGGAUACAACAAAAAGAGCAUCACCACAGGCUCAGGGGGAUUUACCAGUUACUUAUGCCGCUCCUCGGACUGGUCAAGUUUUCGAAUCUGGAUUUUUGUCCAAUUAAAUUAUUGAAAAAUCUGCCCUCCUCCCGUUUGGAAAAUUGAGGAGGACAGUCAAAUCGUUGUUAACUGUUGUGGUGCAAUAUUAAAAGACAAAAGAAACCCCACCGAGCAUCAGUCAGUAACAGACAAAAUUAAGAUUCACCAUCAACACUUACUUUUAAGUUUGUCUGCCCAAAACAUAGAUUAACACUCUUCAAUAAAAUAACUCAAAAUUC